Molecule: ribosomal RNA, 235 nt
Filed under: Bigelowiella natans
Lineage: Eukaryota; Cercozoa; Chlorarachniophyceae
Description: partial Bacterial large subunit ribosomal RNA
Rfam family: Bacterial large subunit ribosomal RNA
Source: RNAcentral
GGAAAGGCGAAAAGAACCCCGGGAGGGGAGUGAAAAAGAACCUGAAACCCUGUGCUUACAAGCACCGAGAGCACGUCAAAGUGUGAUCGGGUACCUUUUGUAGAAUGGUCCGGCGAGCGUAUGCAGCGUGCAAGGUUAAUGACUUAAGGUCAGGAGCCGAAGGGAAACCGAGUCUGAAAAGGGCGACAAGUACGUUGCAUAGGGCCCGAAACCGGGUGACCUAUCCAUGUCCAGG